CCUACGGGGUGCAGCAGUGGGGAAUAUUGGGCAAUGGGCGCAAGCCUGACCCAGCAAUGCCGCGUGAAGGAAGAAGGCUUUCGGGUUGUAAACUUCUUUGACAGGGGAAGAGCUGAAGACGGUACCCUGAAAACAAGCCACGGCUAACUACGUGCCAGCAGCCGCGGUAAUACGUAGGUGGCAAGCGUUGUCCGGAUUUACUGGGUGUAAAGGGCGUGUAGCCGGGAAGGCAAGUCAGAUGUGAAAUCUGGAGGCUCAACCUCCAAAUUGCAUUUGAAACUGUUUUUCUUGAGUACUGGAGAGGCAGACGGAAUUCCUUGUGUAGCGGUGAAAUGCGUAGAUAUAAGGAGGAACACCAGUGGCGAAGGCGGUCUGCUGGACAGCAACUGACGGUGAGGCGCGAAAGCGUGGGGAGCAAACAGGAUUAGAUACCCUAGUAGUC
This 442-nucleotide ribosomal RNA is filed under the name uncultured bacterium. RNAcentral describes it as "partial 16S ribosomal RNA". It matches the Rfam family "Bacterial small subunit ribosomal RNA", at positions 338 to 795 of the family's 1533-position model. The record is from RNAcentral.